CCUACGGGAGGCAGCAGUAGGGAAUAUUGGUCAAUGGGCGAAAGCCUGAACCAGCAACGCCGCGUGCGCGAUGAAGGCCUUCGGGUCGUAAAGCGCUUUUGGGAGGGAUGAAAAUGACAGUACCUCCCGAAUAAGGAUCGGCUAACUACGUGCCAGCAGCCGCGGUAAGACGUAGGAUCCAAGCGUUAUCCGGAAUUACUGGGCGUAAAGGGCGCGUAGGAGGUUGGGCAAGUCGGCCAUGAAAGCUCCCGGCUCAACUGGGAGAGGCUGGUCGAUACUGCCUGGCUAGAGGGCAAGAGAGGGAGGUGGAAUUCCCGGUGUAGUGGUGAAAUGCGUAGAUAUCGGGAGGAACACCAGUGGCGAAGGCGGCCUCCUGGCUUGUACCUGACUCUGAAACGCGAAAGCAUGGGUAAGCAAACAGGAUUAGAAACCCUGGUAGUCCAUGCCAUAAACGAUGUCAACUGGGUGUCGGCGAAGUAAAAUUUGUCGGUGCCGAAGCUAACGCGUUAAGUUGACCGCCUGAGGACUACGAUCGCAAGAUUAAAACUUAAAGGAAUUGACGG
RNAcentral lists this ribosomal RNA (563 nucleotides) under uncultured bacterium. RNAcentral describes it as "bacterial SSU rRNA". It matches the Rfam family "Bacterial small subunit ribosomal RNA", at positions 338 to 916 of the family's 1533-position model. The record is from RNAcentral.